GAUGAAGAACGUAGCAAAAUGCGAUAAGUAAUGUGAAUUGCAGAAUUCAGUGAAUCAUCGAAUCUUUGAACGCACAUUGCGCCCGCUGGGAUUCCGGCGGGCAUGCCUGUUCGAGCGUCAUUUCAACCCUCAAGCCCCCGGGUUUGGUGUUGGGGAUCGGCUCUGCCCUUCUGGGCGGUGCCGCCCCCGAAAUACAUUGGCGGUCUCGCUGCAGCCUCCAUUGCGUAGUAGCUAACACCUCGCAACUGGAACGCGGCGCGGCCAUGCCGUAAAACCCCAACUUCUGAAUGUUGACCUCGGAUCAGGUAGGAAUACCCGCUGAACUUAAGCAUAUCAAUAAGCGGAGGA
This 348-nucleotide unclassified non-coding RNA is filed under the name soil metagenome. RNAcentral describes it as "partial contains 5.8S ribosomal RNA, internal transcribed spacer 2, and large subunit ribosomal RNA". The stretch from base 1 to 120 matches the Rfam family "5.8S ribosomal RNA", at positions 35 to 154 of the family's 154-position model. The record is from RNAcentral.